GUGAGGGUAGAGUCCACUGGCACGCACAAGUGCAUCCAAGGAGGCAGCCCCCAAAGACUCGUUUGAGCUGACAAUAAGAACACUGGAGGCUGGGAAGGAAGUGCAUGAUAGGACCAGGUUUGCUGUUGACACCCUGUUCUUCAUGCUGGUAAAUUCACAAAGGCUAGAGAAAGCCCAAAGAAAGCUGCGAAGUCUGUUACAACGGCACCUCACCAAGAACAAUGUGUUUUGCUCAACACUGCAGUUAUGGCCAGAGACAAGAGGCCUUUCAGAAGUACCAAGGAUAUAAAUGAUGGGUUGAGACACUUCCAUUUUCCUCUAAGGACUGUUAUCAGGCUAUGAUCACCGAUCCCUCAGAAACCACCAAAUUCCAGUUCCGAAAUCUGAGACCUCCACAUGGGACUGGCAGAUAAGAAACAAGAUGUAUGAAAGCCUCACAUCUUCUUGGAGCAGCAGCUGGAACUUGGGUGGAAUACCCUGGAGCAUCACUGUAUUCCCAAGACUAAGCGACUACAUUAGCCCAUGGAGCUGGUUUAGCCUUGGCAUAUGCUCCUAAAGCAGAUACCUAAAUCAAGGACUCAUCCUACUUUCUUCUGUUGAUCGUAAAGGAAAUC
Long non-coding RNA from Chroicocephalus ridibundus (black-headed gull), 614 nucleotides. RefSeq lists it as uncharacterized. The record is from RefSeq and is a predicted model, not a curated record. NCBI's taxonomy places the organism in Eukaryota, Metazoa, Chordata, Aves, Charadriiformes, Laridae. The transcript has 4 exons.